RNAcentral lists this long non-coding RNA (570 nucleotides) under Arabidopsis thaliana (thale cress). RNAcentral's name for it is "long non-coding RNA (ATHA_LNC000215)". Lineage: Eukaryota; Viridiplantae; Streptophyta; Magnoliopsida; Brassicales; Brassicaceae. The record is from RNAcentral.
AAUCAACAAGCAACAAAGCUCUCCCAGCACCAGCAACAGUAACAGCAGAAGCAGAAUCAGCUACAGCUACAACCACCACAGUCGAUAAACCAGUACCUGAGCCAGAAACAGUUGCAGCUACAACAACCACUGUAGAUAAACCAGUACCUGAGCCAGAGCCAGUGCCAGAGCCAGUGCCAGUGCCAGCGAUUGAAGCUGCAGUCGCUGCACAAGUAAUCACAGAACCAACCGAAACAGAAGCCAAACCAAAACCUCAUUCAAGACCUCUCUCUCCAUAUGCAUCGGUAAUGUUUCUACUUUCUCAUAAAGAGGCUCUUUUGGUGGGAAAUAAAGAAACCUUUAAGCUGUUUAUAAUUAUAAUUUGGACCUCCGUUGAUCCUUGAAGAAGUAUCUUUAUGAUUUACGAGUUCGUACAUGGGUUUCUGUUAUCGUUUAUUAAUAUGAUGUCUUUCUUAACUCUUUUACAGUACCCUGACUUGAAGCCUCCAUCUUCUCCGAUGCCAUCGCAGCCCUGAAAACAGCUAAGAACAGUCUCUCUCUCGUUACUUAGUCUGGUUUUGUCCUCCUGCA